This 24-nucleotide non-coding RNA is filed under the name Rattus norvegicus (Norway rat). Lineage: Eukaryota; Metazoa; Chordata; Mammalia; Rodentia; Muridae. The record is from RNAcentral.
GAACUAUAAAGAUGUCCUUAACUC